RNAcentral lists this long non-coding RNA (1119 nucleotides) under Phasianus colchicus (ring-necked pheasant). RNAcentral's name for it is "lncRNA (ENSPCLG00000019819.1)". Lineage: Eukaryota; Metazoa; Chordata; Aves; Galliformes; Phasianidae. The record is from RNAcentral.
GUGUGUCCCUGCUGAAAUGGCUUUCCUCCCUCUACCCAGUCACAUCACUCUUUCUGACUGUCUGCAAACGAGAUGCCAGUCAUCUCAGAAAUUUUUCUUCUGUGCUUUGUAGGUGUGAAGAAGCAGUGGGUACAGAGAGGUGUUAAUAUUAUGGCCAAAGGACUGCUUUCUGCUUUUCCGGGUUUCUGCUCCCAGCAGUACUUACCAAGAACUUCCAUGCCUGUCCCUGCUUCACCCAAACAGAUCCCAGUGUCAGAAAUAGGCAACAUAACACUCUGGUUUGUACUGGGCCCCUCUCCUGAGCCAAAUGAAUCAGAGUAUUGUUGGAUAUGCUGCAUGGCCAUUUAUUCUCUUAUGGUGUGCACAAAGGAGUACGAAGUAAGUCUUCCCUCUGGUAGGUGUCCUUGCCCUGUGGAAUGGAUUUCAUGGUACAUGGCAGUCACCCAGAGGAAGAAGACAAACAACAGGAUCCUCUCUUUCACAGCCACUGGGAGUGGAUCGUACACAUUCUCAUCAAGAUCACCACUGAUCAUUUGAUGGGAAUUAUCUGAUACAGAACAGACAUUCCUAAUCUUUAUUAUUUAUUUUUUUUUCCUGAAACACUAAAUAUAGUUAGAAGUAACUGAAGAGAUUGUUGCUAUUUCCUGUGAUCCUGCAGUACUUCCUGCUCUGGAGACUGAACCAAGCUAAAGCCUGGCCUGAGUUUAUGAAGGUCCUUAUAAGUCCUCCUUAAGAUUUUUAUGAUAUAUAACUUUAUUUAAGAUGACUUAAACAUGCUCUUUACUGUGCCACCCCAUGAAACUGCAGGACACACAAGCUUCUUUGAUUUCCAAUGUACUCUUGCAGAUCACUCUUCUUCAGCACAAACUUCCAGCAACAAUUCUUUCAGUUAGAACCUGACCUGGUCUCCAAUACAAUCAUGACACACAAACAGUCUUUAAGCUGUAAAAGACAGGAAGAUGUUGCAGUGCAGAUGAUUAAUUUUAUCUGCAAAAUAACAGUGCAGAUAGGGUUUUAAUUAAAGUUGGUGUUAAGGCAAUUCAUACUUUGAUAAAAAUCCUAGAUGUUUAAGAGCUGCUAUUUCAGCUGUAUUUCUGACUCAUUAAGGAUCUGUUUUUC